Molecule: ribosomal RNA, 1016 nt
Filed under: uncultured bacterium
Lineage: Bacteria
Description: bacterial SSU rRNA
Rfam family: Bacterial small subunit ribosomal RNA
Source: RNAcentral
AGGAAUAUUGGUCAAUGGGCGCGAGCCUGAACCAGCCAAGUAGCGUGAAGGAUGGAGGUCCUACGGAUUGUAAACUUCUUUUAUAAGGGAAUAAAGUCACCCACGUGUGGGUGUUUGUAUGUACCUUAUGAAUAAGCAUCGGCUAACUCCGUGCCAGCAGCCGCGGUAAUACGGAGGAUGCGAGCGUUAUCCGGAUUUAUUGGGUUUAAAGGGAGCGUAGACGGGCCGUUAAGUCAGCUGUGAAAGUUUGAGGCUCAACCUUAAAAUUGCAGUUGAUACUGGCGUCCUUGAGUACGGUUGAGGCAGGCGGAAUUCGUGGUGUAGCGGUGAAAUGCUUAGAUAUCACGAAGAACCCCGAUUGCGAAGGCAGCCUGCUAAACCGCCACUGACGUUGAGGCUCGAAAGUGUGGGUAUCAAACAGGAUUAGAUACCCUGGUAGUCCACACGGUAAACGAUGGAUACUCGCUGUUGGCGAUAGACUGUCAGCGGCUUAGCGAAAGCGUUAAGUAUCCCACCUGGGGAGUACGCCGGCAACGGUGAAACUCAAAGGAAUUGACGGGGGCCCGCACAAGCGGAGGAACAUGUGGUUUAAUUCGAUGAUACGCGAGGAACCUUACCCGGGCUUGAAUUGCAGACGAAUUGCUUGGAAACAGGCAAGCCGCAAGGCGUCUGUGAAGGUGCUGCAUGGUUGUCGUCAGCUCGUGCCGUGAGGUGUCGGCUUAAGUGCCAUAACGAGCGCAACCCUCGUGUCCAGUUACUAGCAGGUUAUGCUGAGGACUCUGGACAGACUGCCAUCGUAAGAUGUGAGGAAGGUGGGGAUGACGUCAAAUCAGCACGGCCCUUACGUCCGGGGCUACACACGUGUUACAAUGGGGGGUACAGCAGGCAGCUACCGGGCGACCGGAUGCCAAUCCCGAAAGCCUCUCUCAGUUCGGACUGGAGUCUGCAACCCGACUCCACGAAGCUGGAUUCGCUAGUAAUCGCGCAUCAGCCACGGCGCGGUGAAUACGUUCCCG